RNAcentral lists this ribosomal RNA (464 nucleotides) under uncultured bacterium. RNAcentral describes it as "partial 16S ribosomal RNA". It matches the Rfam family "Bacterial small subunit ribosomal RNA", at positions 28 to 506 of the family's 1533-position model. The record is from RNAcentral.
GACGAACGCUGGCGGCGUGCUUAACACAUGCAAGUCGUACGGUAAGGCCCUUUCGGGGGUACACGAGUGGCGAACGGGUGAGUAACACGUGAGUAACCUGCCCACAACUUUGGGAUAACGCUAGGAAACUGGUGCUAAUACUGGAUAUGUGCUCCUGCUGCAUGGUGGGGGUUGGAAAGCUCCGGCGGUUGUGGAUGGACUCGCGGCCUAUCAGCUUGUUGGUGGGGUAGUGGCCUACCAAGGCGGCGCCGGGUAGCCGGCCUGAGAGGGUGACUGGCCACAUGGGGACUGUGAUACGGCCCAGACUCCUACGGGAGGCAGCAGUGGGGAAUAUUGCACAAUGGGCGCAAGCCUGAUGCAGCAACGCCGCGUGCGGGAUGACGGCCUUCGGGUUGUAACCCGCUUUCAGCAGGGACGAAGCUUUUUGUGACGGUACCUGCAGAAGAAGCACCGGCUAACUACGU